RNAcentral lists this long non-coding RNA (1031 nucleotides) under Salmo salar (Atlantic salmon). Its description in RNAcentral is "lncRNA (ENSSSAG00000086545.1)". Lineage: Eukaryota; Metazoa; Chordata; Actinopteri; Salmoniformes; Salmonidae. The record is from RNAcentral.
ACAUGCCCUGGUAGUCUGUGUGUUGUUGAGAGAGAAAAAUAAUAGAAUAGUAUAAUACUUACUAUAGGUUGUUAUCAAUAAGACAUCACGAAACGGUGCAGACCAUUCGAUUUGACUGUUACGGGCAAGGAGACCCCCAGCUCCGCUCAAACCAUUGACAAGUGCAUGCCAUUUUCAAGGGGUGGUUAAGUAAAUGUUAUAACUAUUUGUCUUUAAUAGCGCUGUCAGAACUACACAUUUCCGAUUAUUCCACAUCUAGCUCUAUCAUCAGAGUUAUACAGCUUGUAACUGAAUGCUUUUCAUGAUCGGUAAACAUCAAUUGAUGAUGUCAUUUGAGGGUAACCUAUCCAUUUGACAUGUAGCUAGCUAGCUAAGGAAAUAGUGUCAUUUAGCUUGCUUCAUCAGAGAUUAGGCUUUUGGAAAGAGUUUGACAUCGGCAAAACCUCGUCCUGGUAAAGUUGUCAGUCAGACUACUGUCAUCACCACUAUAGAUGGCAAGCAAAUCAAACAAUACCUGGAUAAAGCCAUCUAGUUUAUCCCCUGAAAGUUAGCUUGUUAGCUAGCCAUAUUGACGUGAUCUGUUAUUAGCUAGCUAGCCAAUUUGACAUGAUCCAUCAAUCAAUGUAGCCUAUCAUGUCUGUCAGCCACAAUCAUGUUUGAACACUUAAAAACAAUGUUCCAUCAAUUCAUCACAUGUUUAUUUGUCACAUGUGCCGAAUACAGCAGGUGUAGACCUUACCGUGAAAUGGUAACUUACAAGCCCUUAACCAACAAUGCAGUUUCAAGAAAAAUAAGAGUUAAGAAAAUAUUUACUAAAUAAACUAAAGAGUCAAUGUGCGGGGGUACAGGUUAGUUGAGGUAAUUGAGGUAAUAUGUACACUACCAUUCAAAAGUUUGGGGUCACUUAGAAAUGUCCUUGUUUUCCAUGAAAACAUACAUGAAAUGAGUUGCAAAAUGAAUAGGAAAUAUAGUCAAGACGUUGACAAGGUUAUAAAUAAUAAUUUUUUAUUGAAGUAAUAAUUGUGUCCUUC